AGCAGCCGCGGUAAUUCCAGCUCCAAUAGCGUAUAUUAAAGUUGUUGCAGUUAAAAAGCUCGUAGUUGAAUUUCGGAGUUUGUCGGUUGGUCGGGCUUCACUGUCCGCACUGACCUGAUGGAUUCCUACCUUCUGAAUAACCAGCAUGCUAUUAAGUUAGUGCGUUGGGGAAGCAGAGCUAUUACCUUGAAAAAAUUAGAGUGCUUAAAGCAGGCUUAUGCUUGAAUAGAUUAGCAUGGAAUAAUAAAAUAGGACGGCAUGGUUCUAUUUUGUUGGUUUCUAGGAUCACCGUAAUGAUUAAUAGGGAUAGUUGGGGGCAUUAGUAUUCAAUUGUCAGAGGUGAAAUUCUUGGAUUUAUUGAAGACUAACUUCUGCGAAAGCAUUUGCCAAGGAUGUUUUCAUUAAUCAAGAACGAAAGUUAGG
RNAcentral lists this ribosomal RNA (423 nucleotides) under uncultured Glomeromycotina. RNAcentral's name for it is "SSU rRNA". It matches the Rfam family "Eukaryotic small subunit ribosomal RNA", at positions 569 to 994 of the family's 1831-position model. The record is from RNAcentral. Lineage: Eukaryota; Fungi; Glomeromycota.